RNAcentral lists this ribosomal RNA (440 nucleotides) under uncultured bacterium. RNAcentral's name for it is "partial 16S ribosomal RNA". It matches the Rfam family "Bacterial small subunit ribosomal RNA", at positions 338 to 795 of the family's 1533-position model. The record is from RNAcentral.
CCUACGGGAGGCUGCAGUGGGGAAUAUUGCACAAUGGGGGAAACCCUGAUGCAGCGACGCCGCGUGAGUGAAGAAGUAAUUCGUUAUGUAAAGCUCUAUCAGCAGGGAAGAAAAUGACGGUACCUGAGUAAGAAGCCCCGGCUAACUACGUGCCAGCAGCCGAGGUAAUACGUAGGGGGCAAGCGUUAUCCGGAUUUACUGGGUGUAACGGGAGCGUAGACGGCAGUGCAAGUCUGGAGUGAAAGGCGGGGGCUCAACCCCCGGACUGCUCUGGAAACUGUACGGCUGGAGUGCAGGAGAGGGAAGUGGAAUUCCUAGUGUAGCGGUGAAAUGCGUAGAUAUUAGGAGGAACACCAGUGGCGAAGGCGGCUUACUGGACUGUAACUGACGUUGAGGCUCGAAAGCGUGGGGAGCAAACAGGAUUAGAUACCCUUGUAGUC